RNAcentral lists this ribosomal RNA (395 nucleotides) under uncultured bacterium. RNAcentral describes it as "partial 16S ribosomal RNA". It matches the Rfam family "Bacterial small subunit ribosomal RNA", at positions 523 to 918 of the family's 1533-position model. The record is from RNAcentral.
AUACGUAGGGUGCAAGCGUUAAUCGGAAUUACCGGGCGUAAAGCGUGCGCAGGCGGUUUUGUAAGACAGUGGUGAAAUCCCCGGGCUCAACCUGGGAACUGCCAUUGUGACUGCAAGGCUGGAGUGCGGCAGAGGGGGAUGGAAUUCCGCGUGUAGCAGUGAAAUGCGUAGAUAUGCGGAGGAACACCGAUGGCGAAGGCAAUCCCCUGGGCCUGCACUGACGCUCAUGCACGAAAGCGUGGGGAGCAAACAGGAUUAGAUACCCUGGUAGUCCACGCCCUAAACGAUGUCAACUGGUUGUUGGGGAUUUAUUUUCUCAGUAACGAAGCUAACGCGUGAAGUUGACCGCCUGGGGAGUACGGCCGCAAGGUUAAAACUCAAAUGAAUUGGCGGGG